CAAGAAUAAAAGUAGUUAUUAUCUUCAUAACUCAAAGAAUUUGGCGGUUAAUAAAAGUUUUUAGAGGAACCUGUAAUAUAAUUGAUAAUCCACGAUAGUUUCAACUUAAUUUAUAUUUGUAUACCUCUAUGGGUUAUAGAUUCUUUUUUAAGAAAAAUUUUCUUUUAAUAUAAUUGUAUAUUUUAGGUCAAGGUGCAGUUUUAGUUAAGGAAUUAUGGGUUACUUUUUUAAUUUUUAUUAAUUAACUAAUUAAUUAGUUAAUUAGAUUAGGAUUUAAAAGUAAAUUUAACAAAUUAGUUGAUUUGAAUAUU
This 311-nucleotide ribosomal RNA is filed under the name Guayaquila sp. CPL-2004a. RNAcentral's name for it is "partial 12S small subunit ribosomal RNA". The record is from RNAcentral. Lineage: Eukaryota; Metazoa; Arthropoda; Insecta; Hemiptera; Membracidae.